Hypanus sabinus (Atlantic stingray) is the source of this 5046-nucleotide RNA transcript. It is a transcript of the gene named grpE protein homolog 2, mitochondrial-like, with no coding region annotated. The record is from RefSeq and is a predicted model, not a curated record. NCBI's taxonomy places the organism in Eukaryota, Metazoa, Chordata, Chondrichthyes, Myliobatiformes, Dasyatidae. The transcript has 3 exons.
CCCCCUCCCGAUCUCCCGACAGUUCCCCCCUCCCGAUCUCCCGACCGUCCUCCCCUCCCGAUCGUCCUCCCCUCCCGAUCUCCCGACCGUCCUCCCCUCCCGAUCUCCCGACCGUCCUCCCCUCCCUAUCUCCCGACCGUCCUCCCCUCCCGAUCCCCCGUCGGCUGUCCGGUGUGCGAACGCUGAUGGCGUUGAUGGUGCAUGCGGUCGAAGGUUUGGCCGUCGGCCAUUCACACCCUGGCUAACCUCGGAGUCGUGGCGACUCGACGCCUGACUCCUCCCGGUUCGACAUUUCACAAGUUGCAUGGUUUUGCAUCGUGCUGCUCCUCACGUAGGCGCUUGGGUUUGCUUUAAAGGAGCAAAGAAAGAGUUUUUUGACCCUCUGUGCUACUCCCACCCAACACAAAACUGAAGAAAACCAAGGUUCAUUGAAAACCACAAAGCCUACUAAGAGCCCUACUGAAAAUACGGUGCAAGAUAAGAUGAAUUCUUGUCCCUGUGCCACUCAAAAAAUGCAAGUGCUGCAACUUAAAAUGAAUGAGUUGGAUCGAGAAUAUCGAACCCUGCAGGCAAGUCUCCUUUUGGCAGUGAAUGCGACAAAAAUAGAAUCUGCAGCCAAGACUCUAUUUGCUACCAUGUUUGUCACCCAUGCGUGCACACUUUUUACUACUGCUUAGAAGUUGCUCACCUGGUGGUAUUGAAGGACUUGAUAGGAACUUUUUAAAUGGGAGCAGCUAUUUGCUUAGGAACUGUUAAAAGUUGAAUCACACAUGUAAGUUUUGGGUGCUAACUUUCCUUUCAUAAUACUCAUAGCUCAAUAUUUGUGUGUGUGUGUGUGCGCAGUAUGUAUGUAUAUACAAACGGUAUGUGUGUGUAUGUAUGGAAUAGAUUAAAGUUUCUUGUGUCUGAUAUGGGAGGACAGCGUGUUUAAGUAAGCUUUCACUGUUUGUACCCAUUUCGGACAAGAUUCACGAAUGCCAACAUUAGAAUGUGUUCUCAAUUAACAUCACGUUUAAGCACUGUCAGAUGGUAUCUUCUGGCAAAAAAUGAAAGGAAUAAAAAUGAAAAAAAAAUAUAUAUAUAUUCAUAAAAAUGAAGUCUCUCCAUACCAUCUAAUAAUGCACACUGCCUCCCAGUUUCAUGAUAUAGUUGAAGGGAUCAGAGGUAAUGAAUUAAAAGCAUUGGGUUUAUAGACCAUGAUCAGCAAGGAUCCCUGGUAUCCCAGUGGUGAAAGCCUCCCAUCCCAGCAAAUUCCUAACUUUUAUUUACAUUCACCAAUUCUCCUUUCCUGCCAAUAUUUAUAUUUAAAGUGGAGUAGGCUCUUCUGGCCUUUCAAUCCACACUUCCCUGCAACCCCAAGCCCUAACAUAAUCACAGGACUAUUUACAAUGAGUAAUGACUCUACACAGUACAUUUUCGGAAAUUCCACAGGUAAAGCCGUACAGAGAUUCAUUGUAGAACGGCCGACACUGGAAUUUGAAUUCUGAACUCUGGAACACUCCGAGCUAUAAUAGCAUCGUGCUAACCACUAGGAUUCCACGUGCUCUGAUUUUGAGUAAACAUUUUUCCUGAAAAUCCAAGUACACCAGCCUAGCAAGGUUGUCACUAUUUUUCAUGUUCAAACCUCAGGAAAUCUGCAAGUAUGAUAUCUGUUCCAUAAAUCAUUGUGGACUUUGCCCAUUCUGAGUGCUCUUUUUCCUUUCCCAUAACAAUAGAUUCCAGCUUUUCCCCCAGUUUUGAUAUCAGGCUAACUGGUUUUUAGUUCUGUUCGCUCUCACUGUCCUUUGCUACUUUCUGAUUGGAGGGAAUCCCAUUGAAAUCUCUGGAACUUUGGCGUUGACAACUAGGUGCAUCCAGUCAAAUCCAAUAGACUUAUUUUUUGCUUGUCUGAGUGUGACAAGUUGUAUUAAGGUCCUACUCUCCAUGCAUUAUCUUGAUUUAUUUGAUUGCCAUUAACAUAGCCGUUUUUCUCACAGAACUAGUCUCUGUCUUUGACUGAUGAAUUAUUAAGAACUGGGAAGCUAUAAAAAAGUAUAGCUUUAAUCGGGAAUAAACAUUAAAAACAAUCUUAGGUGUUCUGAAAAGAAGCUGCAAUCUACCCCAUUUUUAUGGCUUAAUUUCUAAAGUUAUCUAAUUCCACUCCAGAUCAUUUUGCAGUUGUCCGGUAGUUAUUGUGAGAGGCUACAAAAUUGAAUGGUACAGGAGUUCAUAACAUCUGCUUGGUUACUAGAGUUGAUGCACUGCUCAAACAAUUUUUGGAAUGUGCUUGGAAAGCUUUGCAGAGCAAAGUUCAAAGUACAUUUAUUAUCAAAGUAUGUGUACUAUAUACAACCUUGAGAUUCAUCUCCGCACAGGCAGCCACUAAACAAAGAACCUGGUAGAACCUAUUUCAAAAAACGAAGGCUGUCAAACACACAAGGUGCAAAAAAAAACACCUGAAAAAAAAAGUAAGCAAAUAACAUUCAUCAUUGAAGUUCACGAAAGUGCGUCCACAGCCACAAAGCCUUCAUCACUGCAGAUAAUCCAAGAGCCUGUUAUUUGUAGCAGUUUUUUUUCCUUGAAACAGAUCCAAGAAGAAUAGGAUUACAUUUUGGGAAUAGUGUAUAUGCUGUUCAACAUGGUGGGAUGCAUGGCUGAACAAUGAAGUAUUGGAAAACUAGACAAAUAUACUACAUGCAUUUUUGAUGCUACUAAUGUUUUCCUUUGCAACUUUGCUAGCAACUUGUAAGGACCUAUAUUUGUCAUAAGAUCUAAACUCCAUUAAAUAUCUAACUGCUUUUGGGUGAUCAGUCACCUACAUAUUUGUACUUAAAAUUAUAUUUGUACUGCAAAUGUAGGAAAUCUGAAAUUUAAAAAAAAAAUUCCUAAGAGCUGCUGAAAAUACUUGGCAGGUCAGGAGGCUUCUGUGCAAGGAGGAAGAGAGUCAGUUGCCUUUCAACAGAACUGGAAAAUAUUAACCAAGUCUUUUUUUCACUUCUGAAAAAGGGUUAUUAACCUAAGACUGCUUCUCUCUUUGCAGAAUCUUACCUGAGCUGAGUACCUUUCAGCAUUUCUGAUUUUAUUGCAGGCUUAUGGAAUCAUCUUCAUUCUCUUUUGUCAUUGGCUUAUAAAAUUCUGAAUAAUUCUGAAAUUCUGGAAGUUUAACAAUUCAAUGAUCAUAAGUAACUGGCCAGUAGGAAAUGCCCCAAGAACUGCAAUUACUAUUAAGGAUGGCCAUUAGAGCCAAGCUUGUUUUUUCAGUGUAAAUUUUAAUUUACCAUGUUGACAUCAAAUUAUCACAUGUAAUUUGAGGCAUGUUCAAAGGCAUUGACCAAAUUAGUUUUUCAUUUUAAUUAUUUUUUUAUAUGUAGUCAGUUUGCAAAUAGCUCCCAAAUAGAGAAAAGUUUUAACACUGGUGUGAGCAAAUGUUACUUGAAAGUGAUAUUUAAAGUGUGCUGGACUGUAACCUUGCAUUCUAAUAAUUGAAUUGUAUUCCUGAAGCCAAAUUUCAGGCCUGUGUGGAACAUGAGAAGUUUGGAUUCUGCACCGGACCAUCCGAAUGCUCUCUGCAGGUGAAUUGCAGCAUCAAGGUGGAUGAGCGAUUUGUUGUGAAACCGAAUUGCAGGGCCUCUGAUUCUUGAAGUUGAAGGUGUGUUGUCAGGAGUUUGUUGAGAACAAGCUCUUGAUUUUAAACAAAACAAGCCAACUUCAUGCGGAUAAAUGGUGGCAAACUGGGAAUUGGUUGCAAUUUUUUAAGUUAGCAGUUGGCAAUGAAUGACUUAAGUUCCUUUAAGUAAGUUACAUUGCAGCAUAAACAUGUGAAGUGGUAACACAAACAUAAUUAUUGGCUUUAAUUUACCUCAGCAUGUGUUCCAAGUGGCCAUUUGAUAUCACUGUUAGGUUGUCAGCAUUAAUCAACUCUGCUUUGAUGGAUGCAGUAGGACUAACAUCUGAAGAAAUUGCUGAUGUGUUCGUGCUGGUUUCCUUUCAUGCUAUAAAAGCCAAGGGUAAAGCCUUUGUUUCAGGAUCAUGGAGAUCUCUGGCACAGAAACAGGCUCAUCAGCACACCAUCUCCUUGCUGACCAUUUUGCUCAAUUACACUAAUCCCAUUUGUCAACAUUAGGAUAGUGCCCUUCUAUGCCUUAUCUCUGUCUAACUGCUGCAUACACUGUAAUUGUAUCUAUCUCUGCUACCUCCUCUGUGUUCCAGAUAUCAACUACUCUGUAGUUGUCAAAAGCCCAACCCCCAAGAUACUAUUUAAAUUUCCCACCUCAACAUUCAUUGGAAUAUUUUUCCAGUGGUAAGAGUGUCAAAAACAGUAGGGUAUAGUUUUUAUAUUUUCUAAAUUUGACUAGCUAUGUUUCAUAACCUUACAUGCUUCUAUCAGGUCACCCUUUGGCCUCCUUCAUUCUAGGGAGAACAACCCCAGCAUAUGCAGUAUCUUCCUAGAAUUAGUCCUCCAGUCCAGGCAAUGUACUGGUGAAUCUCCUGCACUCUCUCCACGACAAUCUUUCCUGUUAUGUAACAACUGGAACUAUACACAAUACUCCCAAGUGCAGUCUAAUUUGUGUUUUGUAAAGUAUCAAUGUAGCAUCCUAACACUACAACCUAUGAAGUUAAGCAUGUUAUCUGCCUUAUAACUUUAAUUGCAGAUUUCAUCAGCUGCAUAUUGAAUAUUUGGAAAAAUUAUUGAACUGCAUAGAUUUUCAAUACAAAAGUUUUGUGAAAAAUUGGCAUAUUAUUGAAAGUAUUUUACAAUAUGUUCAGUUAUUAGUUUUGUAAGCUGUAGGACAUAAUGGGCUUGAUACAAUCCCCCCUGGGUAAAGUAAUUUUAAUUGCACCAAAUUUGCCGUAUCAGGUUUUUUUCUCCAAAGAUUAUAUUUUAAGUGUUUGCUUUAUCUCGUGUUUGAUUUUAUAGGAUAACUACAGAAGGGUUUUAACCCAUGCUGAAGACACUAAUAGAAGAGUUCGAAAAUGCGUAGAAGAUGCCAGGAUGUAUGGUAUCCAUAGUUUUUGCAAAGAUAUCCUGGCAGUUGCUGAUUUACUAGAAAAGACCACACAGAAUGU